UACGAAGGGGGCUAGCGUUGUUCGGAUUUACUGGGCGUAAAGCGCACGUAGGCGGAUCGUUAAGUCGAGGGUGAAAUCCUGGAGCUCAACUCCAGAACUGCCUUCGAUACUGGCGAUCUAGAGUCCGGAAGAGGUGAGUGGAACUCCUAGUGUAGAGGUGGAAUUCGUAGAUAUUAGGAAGAAACACCAGUGGCGAAGGCGACUCACUGGUCCGGUACUGACGCUGAGGUGCGAAAGCGUGGGGAGCAAACAGG
This 254-nucleotide ribosomal RNA is filed under the name uncultured bacterium. RNAcentral describes it as "partial 16S ribosomal RNA". It matches the Rfam family "Bacterial small subunit ribosomal RNA", at positions 524 to 776 of the family's 1533-position model. The record is from RNAcentral.